GAUGAACGCUGGCGGCGUGCCUAAUACAUGCAAGUCGAGCGAACAGAUGAGGAGCUUGCUCCUCUGACGUUAGCGGCGGACGGGUGAGUAACACGUGGAUAACCUACCUAUAAGACUGGGAUAACUACGGGGAACCGGAGCUACUACCGGAUAAUAUAUUGAACCGCAUUGUUCAAUAGUGAAAGACGGUUUUUGUGUCACUUAUAGAUGGAUCCGCGCCGCAUUAGCUAGUUGGUAAGGUAACGGCUUACCAAGGCAACGAUGCGUAGCCGACCUGAGAGGGUGAUCGGCCACACUGGAACUGAGACACGGUCGAGACUCCGACGGGGAGCAGCAGUAGGGAAUCUUCCGCAAUGGGCGAAAGCCGGACGGAGCAACGCCGCGGGAGUGAUGAAGGUCUUCGGAUCGUAGAGCUCUGUUGGUAGGAGAGAACAAAUGUGUAAGUAACUAUGCACGUCUUGACGGUACCUGAACAGAAAGCCACGGCUAACUACGUG
This 497-nucleotide ribosomal RNA is filed under the name uncultured bacterium. Its description in RNAcentral is "partial 16S ribosomal RNA". It matches the Rfam family "Bacterial small subunit ribosomal RNA", at positions 28 to 507 of the family's 1533-position model. The record is from RNAcentral.